This 360-nucleotide ribosomal RNA is filed under the name uncultured bacterium. RNAcentral describes it as "bacterial SSU rRNA". It matches the Rfam family "Bacterial small subunit ribosomal RNA", at positions 28 to 384 of the family's 1533-position model. The record is from RNAcentral.
GACGAACGCUGGCGGCGUGCUUAACACAUGCAAGUCGAGCGGUAAGGCCCUUUCGGGGGUACGACGAGCGGCGAACGGGUGAGUAACACGUGGGUGACCUGCCUUUAGUCUCUGGGAGUAAGCCUCGGGAAACCGGGUCUAAUACCGGAUAUGACUCCGCGGCGCAUGUUGUGGGGUGGAAAGCCUUGUGCGGCUGGAGAUGGGCCCGCGGCCUAUCAGCUUGUUGGUGGGGUGAUGGCCUACCAAGGCGACGACGGGUAGCCGGCCUGAGAGGGCGACCGGCCACACUGGGACUGAGACACGGCCCAGACUCCUACGGGAGGCAGCAGUGGGGAAGUCUUGCGCAAUGGGCGAAAGCCU